GUGCUGAAUAUGGAUUUGGAGACAGAGAAUAGAAUUGCGACAAUUCUUUUGAAAGAGGCUGCAGAAUUGCGGCGGCAAGCACAGUCAGAGGGUGCACUUUCUUAUCUUCAUCGGCCUAAUGUCAGGGGGAGACCAAAUUCACGGUUUUUAACAGCAACUGUUCUUGGAGUACAACAAGCUAACCGGGCUGUUGAAGUAAAUGAGAUGUGGAAGUUAAGGCAGAAAGAGGUGGAGCUUGAAAACAGGAUCAUGGGAAGGUCGGCAGAUAAGAACGGUGAUACAAAGUGUCAUAAUUUUAGUGUCUCGGAAAGGAGGUCACGUGAGAGAUAUGAUGCUGAUUCUGGCUCAAGGGGAUCAAAGAAAAGGAAGAUACAAGAUUCUCAUUCAAGUGAAGAUGAAGGAUUGAGAGAUGCUGAAAUUGAGGAAUUUCUACAUUCGAGGGUCAAGCGAGGAAGGGGGACUGUUGGGUCACGGAUGGAUGAAGCUGGUCCUUACCUUCCUUCUAGUCCAGAUCCCAGAGAAAAAGAGUCAGCAAGUCCUGAUGUGAAACUAAGCAAAGGUAGUGGGUAUCAUGUUGUCGUUGGGCCAGAGAAGCCCGUCUGGCUGAAUUCCCCUGGUUCUUUAGAAAAUGAAUCUCUGUCAGAUGAUAAUAGAAAGGCCCCAAAGAAGGCUAAAUCCAGUAAGCACCAUGACCACUGUAGGAAACAUAGAUCAAAAAAGAAGUCUAAGGACAGGGAGCAUAAAAGUAGGAGAAGAGAGGAGAAAAGACUCAAACGUCAUAGGUAGAUAGUAUUCCCUUAGCGUGGUAUAUGAUAACUUAUCCGGUCCUUGUUGAUUCUUAAGUUCGUUGAGAUGUUAAACGCCACUACUUUUGCUCCUGCUUCAUGGAAGUUCCAUUUGUUGUGUACUUUUGUAUAUUUUGCACAUUUCUCCUGUAAAGAUUACCU
This 947-nucleotide unclassified non-coding RNA is filed under the name Hevea brasiliensis (rubber tree). Lineage: Eukaryota; Viridiplantae; Streptophyta; Magnoliopsida; Malpighiales; Euphorbiaceae. The record is from RNAcentral.